CAAUCCCAUGCAGACUCCCAGGUUGUCGAUUCAGUCUGUGAGCCUCUAUGAGCCCAGGAUUCCCUGAGGUCCGCCUAAUGUUUGGUUGUGGAUCUCUGCAUCUGUUUCCAUCUGUUGCUGGAUGAAGCCUCUCUGAUGACAGUUGGGCUAGGCACCAAUCUCCAGGAGCCAGAGGCGCCACACAUCAAAAGGUGGUUUUGAAGGGGCUGCCCCCAUCACUCCUAAUGACCUCCAGUGACAUUUUGUGUGUCCACCCUGCAACUUUGGGUUUCCCUGGUUUUGAAGUCCUGGUUCUCAUGGAAUUCACAGAAGAAGAAAUGCACAUGGUCACAGCUGCUCCUUGGCAUGACUGUGCCUCAACCCCAGACUUCCUGUCUAUCAUGGCAGAAGGAGAAUUCCUUGGCUUGAGGUGGAAGAAAUCACAGCAGGUUCUUCCAUGCCCUGGACUAGACAAGCCAUCGUCAGGGCGUCUGACAAGACUGUGUCUGCCUGGAAGGAGCGGGCCCUGACCCAGCCUAUGGGCCUGUGUGUGUUGGCAAAG
RNAcentral lists this long non-coding RNA (541 nucleotides) under Cricetulus griseus (Chinese hamster). RNAcentral describes it as "lncRNA (ENSCGRG00015020350.2)". The record is from RNAcentral. Lineage: Eukaryota; Metazoa; Chordata; Mammalia; Rodentia; Cricetidae.